Molecule: long non-coding RNA, 578 nt
Organism: Oncorhynchus masou masou (cherry salmon)
Lineage: Eukaryota; Metazoa; Chordata; Actinopteri; Salmoniformes; Salmonidae
Exons: 3
Source: RefSeq, a predicted model, not a curated record
UCUUGUCUACUAGCUUCAAUAUGAAUCCGAUUAAAUGUGAUAGGGUGAAGGCCCCAGUGCAGCAGCAACAGCACAUGAUGGAGACGAUGAUGAGGAGGAGACCAUCUCUCUGGAUUCCAGAAGGCAUGAGGACCCAGAUGCUAUACAGUGGGAAAACCAGCCUGGCAACAGUGCGUAUUAAUAAAAGGACACCACAUCCUGCCAAAUUCCAGCUGCGCUAAUUGUAUUGUGUUCACAGAGCUCACAAGCUAUCAGAAAGUUGUAUGGCAACCACCUCCGGCGCCAAAUAGAACUGGCAGACACAGACAUUCAGUACAAGAAGAAAAAGAUGGAAAAUCUUGCACUGGAGUCCGAAAUAAAAAAGAGGACAAUUAGGAAACUGGACCUUGAAAUAAAAAAACUUGAGAGGGAGCUCCAAGAAGAUGACACAGCUCAAAAUAAAAAUUAGGUAUAUUCUCGUAAAGUCAAGUGAGCCAUGACAUAUGAGCUCUUAUUGUGAGCACACAGGACGGUGGCAUCUUUCUAAGGUUUUUUUAUUUUCCCAGCAAUCAGUACAACCAAGUCAUCGUUAUAAGGCA